This 402-nucleotide ribosomal RNA is filed under the name uncultured bacterium. RNAcentral's name for it is "bacterial SSU rRNA". It matches the Rfam family "Bacterial small subunit ribosomal RNA", at positions 917 to 1322 of the family's 1533-position model. The record is from RNAcentral.
GGGCCCGCACAAGCGGUGGAGCAUGUGGUUUAAUUCGAUGAUACGCGAGGAACCUUACCAGGGCUUAAAUGUAAGUUGCAUAAGCUAGAGAUAGCUUUUUCUUCGGACUACUUACAAGGUGCUGCAUGGUUGUCGUCAGCUCGUGCCGUGAGGUGUCAGGUUAAGUCCUAUAACGAGCGCAACCCCUGUUGUUAGUUGCCAUCGAGUAAUGUCGGGAACUCUAACAAGACUGCCGGUGCAAACCGUGAGGAAGGUGGGGAUGACGUCAAAUCAUCACGGCCCUUACGUCCUGGGCUACACACGUGCUACAAUGGCCGGUACAGAGAGCAGCCACUACGCGAGUAGGAGCGAAUCUACAAAACCGGUCUCAGUUCGGAUCGCAGUCUGCAACUCGACCGCGUG